AGUAUAGUGCCUGAGAAAAGGAUUAUCGUGAUAGGAUAAAUCAUGUAAAAACAACUUUACCUUUACUA
This 68-nucleotide transfer RNA is filed under the name Gyna capucina. Its description in RNAcentral is "tRNA-Ile". Lineage: Eukaryota; Metazoa; Arthropoda; Insecta; Blattodea; Blaberidae. The record is from RNAcentral.